RNAcentral lists this ribosomal RNA (449 nucleotides) under uncultured soil bacterium. RNAcentral describes it as "bacterial SSU rRNA". It matches the Rfam family "Bacterial small subunit ribosomal RNA", at positions 26 to 518 of the family's 1533-position model. The record is from RNAcentral.
AGAACGAACGCUGGCGGCAUGCCUAAUACAUGCAAGUCGAACGAACUCUUCGGAGUUAGUGGCGCACGGGUGCGUAACGCGUGGGAAUCUGCCCCUUGGUUCGGAAUAACAGUUGGAAACGACUGCUAAUACCGGAUGAUGACGAAAGUCCAAAGAUUUAUCGCCAAGGGAUGAGCCCGCGUAGGAUUAGCUAGUUGGUGAGGUAAAGGCUCACCAAGGCAACGAUCCUUAGCUGGUCUGAGAGGAUGAUCAGCCACACUGGGACUGAGACACGGCCCAGACUCCUACGGGAGGCAGCAGUAGGGAAUAUUGGACAAUGGGCGAAAGCCUGAUCCAGCAAUGCCGCGUGAGUGAUGAAGGCCUUAGGUUGUAAAGCUCUUUUACCCGAGAUGAUAAUGACAGUAUCGGGAGAAGUAAGCCCCGGACUAACCUCCGCGCCAGCCAGCCGC